UACGGAGGGUGCAAGCGUUGCUCGGAAUUAUUGGGCGUAAAGGGUAGGUAGGUGGUCUCAUUUGUCUGGGGUGAAAGCCUUGAGCUUAACUCAAGAAGUGCCCCAGAAACGGUGAGACUGGAGUCCUGGAGAGGGUCGUGGAAUUCCUGGUGUAGCGGUGAAAUGCGCAGAUAUCAGGAGGAACACCCGUGGCGAAAGCGGCUCUCUGGGACGGUACUGACGCUGAGACGCGAAAGCGUGGGGAGCGAACAGG
Molecule: ribosomal RNA, 253 nt
Filed under: uncultured bacterium
Lineage: Bacteria
Description: partial 16S ribosomal RNA
Rfam family: Bacterial small subunit ribosomal RNA
Source: RNAcentral